Long non-coding RNA from Anolis carolinensis (green anole), 4739 nucleotides. RefSeq lists it as uncharacterized. Lineage: Eukaryota; Metazoa; Chordata; Lepidosauria; Squamata; Anolidae. The record is from RefSeq and is a predicted model, not a curated record. The transcript is spliced from 4 exons.
AAUGGUGUCAAACUGCAUUAAUUCUACUUUAUAGAUACACCUCUUGACUCCAAUGUCUGUGUGGGAAGCUAUCCUGAGUUUUAGCUUGAGGUGUAAAGAGGCUAUCCAAGGUCAUGGUUUGAGAUUUAACACACUGGAUAGCUCCUUUACUGUCUGGACUACAGUCUCCAGUGGAUUCACCCCCUCUUUGGCACUGGAGGCUCAAGCUGGCACUACUAAGCCUGGAAUACCCAGGAAAUUCAGAUCUUUCACCAAAUCCAAUAGCCUCUCAUUCAGUCAUUCUUAGGAUUAUGCCUCUAAAGGAAUAAAUACAGCCCAGGUUAUCCAUCAGAAUUAUGGCUAUGUUGACCGAUCUGCAGAGCCAGACUCUUGAUGUUUGCAUCAGUGUGCAAUUCAGGGUACUGAAAUCUAGUGCAGUUUGGGGAUAUUAUUCUGAAUAAAAUACUGUGUGUUACAAGCCUGCAUUAAUCUAGAAUUUCAUUUUGUAUGGUCAUAUUACACAUUUGCAGAAUUUAAAUAUCACACACCAAAGAGAGACAUUAGCAAAUGUUUUAGAAUCAUAGAAUCAUAGAAUAGUAGAGUUGGAAGAGACCUCAUGGGCCAUCCAGUCCAACCCCCUGCCAAGAAGCAGGACCACAAUCUCCCAAUGCUCAAGAAAUUCAGUACUAAAACGAGAGAGAAGCUCCAUGCAAAUGUAACAUCAACUGUAUGUAAUAUAUUUUUCAAUUGAUAUGCAAAUUAGAUGUCUCUAUUUUGCUUUUGGCCUCAGGCUCUUGACUAGCUGCCAAUAUGGUAACAGGUGUUGCUAGGUCCAUGCCACUGCCACAAGAGUAUAGUAUACUCUUAGCAUUAGUAGCAGAACACAAACAUAUUUAGACAUUAUUUGCAUUUCUAAGGACCAAAAAGACUAUAUGGUUUACUGUCCAAAAUCUAAAAUGUUGUGACUUGUGUCUUCUCUUAUCAAUGCAGCAUCGUGUCCUAGCAACCCAGAUAAUAAAGGCCAAAACACAAAAGGAGAGCAUGCAAACGGAUUUUAUCUAUUGAUCUGAACUGAAAUGCCAGUUAUUUGCUACAGGCUUUGUUAUUAGGGCUUGCUCAGUGCACUCUGUAGAGCCUAUUAAAUGAGUUGCACCACCUCCAGCCUUUGGAUCUCCAGCAACCUGACUACAAGCCAGGAUUUCAAAUUUUUGCAGGAUUUGCAAACUAGGGUUACAACUGAAGUUUGAACAGCAAUGUGAAGAGCUAAUCCCACCCACUCACCACACACACACAGUGGCUAGAAAUAUCUCUGAAAAAAUAACAUAGGCAGACUUCUGGAAACCCUAAUUCAGGGAAUGAUGCAUUUUCCCGUUCUUGCCAUAAUAUAGGUACUAUCUAUUAUAGUGGUGCAGGACACUGAAAGUUGCUUGUAUAAAACUAACCAAAUAUUUCUGUAAGCAACUGUUUUGCCCACUACAUUAGGCCUUUAGUCUCAUUUUAUCUGAAAGACCGUAUUUCCCAUUAUAAUAAAUGUUUUAACAUCCUCAAGGCAGGACAGUCUUUUCAGUGGCUGCUCUCAGAUUGUGAAAUCCACUUUCAUGGAAGGCUAAGCCUCCCUGCCCUGUGCUCUCCUUUCGUUAGCAAAGAUCUGUUUAUUUAAACAAAUAUUUUAUGGUUAAAUCUCUUCAGGAAGUGCAUUUAGGGUGUGUGCAUGCUGCACUGUUAUCUUGAAUGUCAAGUUUUAAAGUUGAGGUUGCCUUUUUUAAAAUGGCAUUUUAAUAUGAAUUAAUUUGCUUAAUUGUGUUUUAACCUUCUUAUCAUUUGGUUUUCAGCUUUAUCUUACUUUAGCCUCAUUGUAAGCCUUCUUGAGUCCCAUGUUGGGAGAAAGCUUGGACUGGCUUCGUGCUGAUUAGAGGAGAUGGUCUCUGAUGCCACACCAACUGGGAGGACUCCCUCUCUGAGGCUGGACUGCAGCACCCUCCUUCCAAUGCAGAUUUCUGCUCUCCAAUGGCUGACAGGGGGAAGGAUGGCUAGAGUGUUAGCUAUCCCUCCCAGUUUGGUGUCGUCUGCAAACUUGAUGAUCGUGCCUUCUAACCCUUCGUCUAAGUCGUUAAUAAAGAUGUUAAACAGAACCGGGCCCAGGACAGAACCCUGCAGCACUCCACUCGUGACUUCUUUCCAAGAUGAAGAAGACGCAUUGGCUUGGUUUUGAAGAUGACGAAAAGUCAAUUGCUCUAUUAAGAUUCAGAUGAAGAUUGAAUUUUUAAUGUAAGGCUGGCUAAAAAUGGAAAGAAUAUUCAAAAAUAUUUAGAAAGUGGUUGAAAAAAAUGUUUUUUGAAAGCUGAAAAACCCAGAUCAGAAGAGUCUUGGACUGAUGGGAAUCUUUGUUAUUUAGGAUUUAUUAUGUGUAAAAUGUGCAUGUGGAUGUUUUGUGCAGAAAAUAGCAUUUUAUGCACAAGAAACAGCAUUUACUGCAUGGAAAAUAAUUUUAAGGAAUUCAUAUUUCUACACUGAAGUAUUAUUUUCAACACUGAAAAUACUGUUUUUGGUAGUGAAAAUGUUUUCUGAGCUAAACAUGCAAAAGAAGAAAGAGAUCUCUACGUACUUAAUGAUGAUUGCAUUUUGUUCUUUAAAUAGAUUUUCUUGUUAUUUCGUGAUAUAAAAAGCUCAAUGUGUUUCACCUCAUAUAUUACUGGUUGCGAUUGGAUGUCUUCAGGGUUAGAAUAAACAUAUAUACAAUAAUAAAUUAAAAUUCAAAAUUUAUAAAAGGAUAGCACACAUUUCUACUUCUAUUCUUAUAAAAUCCUAAUAGCCCCAAUAGUUCACAUUAAUUGUAUUUAAUAUUUUAAAAUGUAUUUAUUCCAUUCAAUCUAAUAACAGAAGGAAUUCCUGGAGUUGCUGAAAAUCUCUCUUCAUAUAACUGGAUAGUUACACAAUAAAAAAAGAAAAUUAUACUUAUAACCUUUAUUUAUAUAUAUACAUUUCUGCAAAUGGAUGUGCUUUGGAUCAUAAUAUGGGCUUUCCAGUAUCAGUCUAUGAUUCUGAGCAAAACAACCAUGUGUGAAAUUUGUGCAAAGCAAGUCCCACAUUUUUAAUAGCUUUCAAAAAAUUUUGUACAAAAUAAAUCCCAAAUUGUGAAUAGUAUUUUUGCAGUGGGAAGAAAAUUGCUGAAAUUAUUCCUCACAAUUUUUGAGAAAUGUGAAAGAAAAUAGUGCAUCCCUCAAACAGAGUAACCAAACUGGCAAGGCAGAAAUUGAAUAACAGCCAAUCCCACAUUCCACCCUCAAAUAGGAUCAAGCCAAUAAAUAAAGCUUUUUUUCUUUUGCAAAAUAGAUUACCUUCUCUUACAAUAUAGAGUGUGUAGUCAAAAACAUCCUCUAAUGGAAGAUGGAGAAGGAAGAAGAGAGAAUGCCUGAAGCUACUACCCUUAACAGAAAAAUGAGUUUAUGACUGAUAAUGGACAGACUGGAUCAUGAUUUGAAUUGCACUUUUUAAAUGGAUGUCUAUAUGGAUGUUUUUAAUUAAUGUUUAAUUGUUUCAAUUGUAAUUGUUUUAAAUAUUAUGUUUUCUAGCAUCUAAUAAUUGCUGAUCGUGAGGCCACCCUGAAUCCCCCCUCGGGGGUGAGAAGGACGAGAUACAAAUGUCUGAAAUAAAUACAUUUUGAUGCAGGAAGAGAACAGAGGUGGUGAAACAAGUACACAGGAAAUCAUGAUAAUAUAAAUUAGCAGUUAGUGAUCAUAGGCAUAGAAAGGUUAUUAACUCUGCCAGCUCAUGAACGUGACCAUGAACCUCACUUAAGUGAAGGACAAUACACUGUCCCCUUCCAGUUCACGCACAGAAGACAAUCAACAUUGCUGUUAUAUCUUACCUGAAUUACAAGAAAGUCAAAGACAUUAGGUUACAAGAGAUCUAAAAAGAUUUCAGGCCAAUACAUUCAGAUGUGUGAUUUGAUUUAAUAUUUUGAUACACACUUUUGUAUAGCACAUCCUUCUCAGUUUUGCUAUUUUGUUGUUCUGCUAUUUUGUUGUAGUAGUAAGGUUGUGCCUUACUACAGAUAGAUGAAUGUUCGGUAUGCAAAGGUAACAUUCACAUAUGAUCCUACCCUGCAAGAUGAAAGCUGAUGAAAUUAAUUCAGCUCUCUGAGGCUGUUAUAUAAUAUAACACAUUUGCCUGAGUGUAUGCACCAUAUUCAUAGAACUGAUUGUAAACCCCCAUGAAGACCUAGGCUUUGCCUGAACAGUAUCCAGAGGAGUCCUUAUUUGCAAUGAUCUGGGAAUCUUUGGUAGGGCAUAAAGACUGGGGCUAGACAUUAUGGGGAGGGAAUUCGGGAGGCAGGUGGGGGAGGGGAAUGGUAACCAAACCUUAACUUGGCCCUUUUUAUCUUGUGGAAUUGUGCAAUAUAAUCUAAUUCAGACAGCACUUUAAACAACACUGACACUACAUCUGCCUGUUGGCUUGUUGCAAAUUGCCUUUUUAUGUUUAAUGUUUUAACUGUUUACUAAUAUUAGAUCUAUUAGUAAAAAUGUCCUAAAUGUUUGAUUUAUAUAUUUAAAUUUCUAUUUUUGUUAUUUUUGAGUUGUUUGAUAAGUACACUUGAUGUUGCUCAUUUUAUUGUUUAUGAUGUGAUCAGUCUGUUAUGUUUUCUAAUGUAUGGUUGGCAUUUUGCCAUUAUGUUGUAAACCGCUUUGAGUCCCCCCAGGGGUGAGAAAAGCGGUAUAUAAAUGCAGUAAAUAAAUAAAUAAAUAAAUGAACUUGCUGCU